Molecule: ribosomal RNA, 434 nt
Filed under: uncultured bacterium
Lineage: Bacteria
Description: bacterial SSU rRNA
Rfam family: Bacterial small subunit ribosomal RNA
Source: RNAcentral
GCAGAACGCGAAGAACCUUACCCACCUUUGACAUGUACGGAAGUUGCCAGAGAUGGCUUCGUGCUCGAAAGAGAGCCGUAACACAGGUGCUGCAUGGCUGUCGUCGGCUCGUGCCGUGAGAUGUUGGGUUAAGUCCCGCAACGAGCGCAACCCUUGCCAUUAGUUGCUACGAAAGGGCACUCUAAUGGGACUGCCGGUGACAAGCCGGAGGAAGGUGGGGAUGACGUCAAGUCCCCAUGGCCCUUAUAGGUGGGGCUACACACGUCAUACAAUGGCCGGUACAGAGGGUCGCGAAGCCGCGAGGUGGAGCCAAUCCCAUAAAACCGGUCGUAGUCCGGAUCGCAGUCUGCAACUCGACUGCGUGAAGUCGGAAUCGCUAGUAAUCGCGGAUCAGCUUGCCGCGGUGAAUACGUUCCCGGGUCUUGUACACACCG